Molecule: ribosomal RNA, 380 nt
Filed under: uncultured eukaryote
Lineage: Eukaryota
Description: partial 18S ribosomal RNA
Rfam family: Eukaryotic small subunit ribosomal RNA
Source: RNAcentral
CAAUAGCGUAUAUUAAAGUUGUUGCGGUUAAAAAGCUCGUAGUUGGAUUUCUGCUGAGAACGACCGGUCCGCCCUUUGGGUGUGUAUCUGGCUCUUUCUUGGCAUCUUCUUGGUGAACGUUGCUGCACUUGACUGUGUGGAGCGCUACCCAGGACUUUUACUUUGAGGAAAUUAGAGUGUUUCAAGCAGGCAUACGCCUUGAAUACAUUAGCAUGGAAUAAUAAGAUAGGACCUCGGUUCUAUUUUGUUGGUUUCUAGAGCUGAGGUAAUGAUUAAUAGGGAUAGUUGGGGGCAUUCGUAUUUAACUGUCAGAGGUGAAAUUCUUGGAUUUGUUAAAGACGGACCACUGCGAAANCANNNGCCAAGGAUGUUUUCAUNGA